GGGAAUGUGGCUUAGUGGUAGAGUGCUUGCCUAGCAUGCAUGGAGCACUGGGUUCGAUUCCUCAGCACCA
RNAcentral lists this transfer RNA (70 nucleotides) under Dipodomys ordii (Ord's kangaroo rat). It matches the Rfam family "tRNA". From Rfam's summary of the family: Transfer RNA (tRNA) molecules are approximately 80 nucleotides in length. Their secondary structure includes four short double-helical elements and three loops (D, anti-codon, and T loops). The record is from Rfam by way of RNAcentral. Lineage: Eukaryota; Metazoa; Chordata; Mammalia; Rodentia; Heteromyidae.